Molecule: ribosomal RNA, 442 nt
Filed under: uncultured bacterium
Lineage: Bacteria
Description: bacterial SSU rRNA
Rfam family: Bacterial small subunit ribosomal RNA
Source: RNAcentral
UGGCUCAGGACGAACGCUGGCGGCAUGCCUAACACAUGCAAGUCGAACGAGACCUUCGGGUCUAGUGGCGCACGGGUGCGUAACGCGUGGGAAUCUGCCCUGGGGUGCGGAAUAACUCGGAGAAAUCCGUGCUAAUACCGCAUAAUGUCUUCGGACCAAAGAUUUAUCGCCCUGGGAUGAGCCCGCGUAGGAUUAGCUAGUUGGUGGGGUAAAGGCCUACCAAGGCGACGAUCCUUAGCUGGUCUGAGAGGAUGAUCAGCCACACUGGGACUGAGACACGGCCCAGACUCCUACGGGAGGCAGCAGUGGGGAAUAUUGGACAAUGGGCGAAAGCCUGAUCCCAGCAAUGCCGCGUGAGUGAUGAAGGCCCUAGGGUUGUAAAGCUCUUUUACCUGGGAUGAUAAUGACAGUACCGGGAGAAUAAGCUCCGGCUAACUCCGUG